Long non-coding RNA from Aethalodelphis obliquidens (Pacific white-sided dolphin), 894 nucleotides. RefSeq lists it as uncharacterized. The transcript has 3 exons. Lineage: Eukaryota; Metazoa; Chordata; Mammalia; Artiodactyla; Delphinidae. The record is from RefSeq and is a predicted model, not a curated record.
GAACCCGUGUCCCCUGCAUCGGCAGGCGGACUUCAACCACUGCGCCACCAGGGAAGCCAGUUGUUAAGGUUUUGACACACUUGACAUUUACUAUGUUUAAUCCUCCCAACAGCCCUGUGAAAAAGGUGCUACUUCCCUCUUGCAGAUUGCGGAAGUGUUGACACAGAGAUAUUAGUAACUUUCGCAACAUCACUCAAGGUAGAUCCCCAACAGGCAGACAUGGAACUUGCUCCGGCCACCAGGUUAUCCUGCUUCUCGAGUUGACUAAUAUCUUCUCCUCCUUCUUCUCCUGUUCCUCCGUAUCCUCAGUGAUGUGGGCAGAUGCCUAUGCGUUUUCAUAGGCAGCUGCUCUUUCCCCUGCCUGAUGUCGGUACCAUGUACACUUCUUCUUUCUAAAUUUAGGCAUCACUGACAGUCUUAGGCUAUGAAAAUGUCCUUCUGGGUCAAGAGUUAGAAUCAGCCUCAUGGGUUUGCAAUCUUCCAUCUAUGACUUAUGACCAGCAUCUAUCUCCAGGCCAAGAAAGGUGAAGAUAUUUGCUCCUAAUGUUGAGCAGAUGCACAUUAUUAAUCACUUGAAAGAGAGCCCAACAGAAGAGCAGAGAAAUAUGCCGGAGGAAAGUGCCAGGAGGGCCCAUGGGGAUGUACAAGACUUGGCAGACCUGAACUUCAGCAAGCUUGAUGCAGUCAGGAUACCUGGUGGUUUUGGGGUGACCCAGAGCUGCACUGUCAACAGUUCUGUAAAGGACAUUUCAACCCUUCUGCUGCGCUAAGAAGCCCAUGAGCUGGUGCUGCCUUUCCCUGUGCUGGCAGCUGAAACCUUCCUGCUUGUGAAGUCACAGUGGGUCAGGAUAAUAUUGUGGAUAGAGAAGAAAAGGAUGAAAAGCUUCCUGUCAG